This 2908-nucleotide ribosomal RNA is filed under the name Salmonella enterica. Its description in RNAcentral is "23S ribosomal RNA". It matches the Rfam family "Bacterial large subunit ribosomal RNA". The record is from RNAcentral. RNAcentral also lists the same sequence under 3 other names. Lineage: Bacteria; Pseudomonadati; Pseudomonadota; Gammaproteobacteria; Enterobacterales; Enterobacteriaceae.
GGUUAAGCGACUAAGCGUACACGGUGGAUGCCCUGGCAGUCAGAGGCGAUGAAGGACGUGCUAAUCUGCGAUAAGCGCCGGUAAGGUGAUAUGAACCGUUAUAACCGGCGAUUUCCGAAUGGGGAAACCCAGUGUGAUUCGUCACACUAUCAUUAACUGAAUCCAUAGGUUAAUGAGGCGAACCGGGGGAACUGAAACAUCUAAGUACCCCGAGGAAAAGAAAUCAACCGAGAUUCCCCCAGUAGCGGCGAGCGAACGGGGAGGAGCCCAGAGCCUGAAUCAGCAUGUGUGUUAGUGGAAGCGUCUGGAAAGGCGCGCGAUACAGGGUGACAGCCCCGUACACAAAAGCGCAUGUGCUGUGAGCUCGAUGAGUAGGGCGGGACACGUGGUAUCCUGUCUGAAUAUGGGGGGACCAUCCUCCAAGGCUAAAUACUCCUGACUGACCGAUAGUGAACCAGUACCGUGAGGGAAAGGCGAAAAGAACCCCGGCGAGGGGAGUGAAAAAGAACCUGAAACCGUGUACGUACAAGCAGUGGGAGCACAGGUUUACCUGUGUGACUGCGUACCUUUUGUAUAAUGGGUCAGCGACUUAUAUUCUGUAGCAAGGUUAACCGAAUAGGGGAGCCGGAGGGAAACCGAGUCUUAAUUGGGCGUUAAGUUGCAGGGUAUAGACCCGAAACCCGGUGAUCUAGCCAUGGGCAGGUUGAAGGUUGGGUAACACUAACUGGAGGACCGAACCGACUAAUGUUGAAAAAUUAGCGGAUGACCUGUGGCUGGGGGUGAAAGGCCAAUCAAACCGGGAGAUAGCUGGUUCUCCCCGAAAGCUAUUUAGGUAGCGCCUCGUGAAUUCAUCUCCGGGGGUAGAGCACUGUUUCGGCUAGGGGGCCAUCCCGGCUUACCAACCCGAUGCAAACUGCGAAUACCGGAGAAUGUUAUCACGGGAGACACACGGCGGGUGCUAACGUCCGUCGUGAAGAGGGAAACAACCCAGACCGCCAGCUAAGGUCCCAAAGUCAUGGUUAAGUGGGAAACGAUGUGGGAAGGCCCAGACAGCCAGGAUGUUGGCUUAGAAGCAGCCAUCAUUUAAAGAAAGCGUAAUAGCUCACUGGUCGAGUCGGCCUGCGCGGAAGAUGUAACGGGGCUAAACCAUGCACCGAAGCUGCGGCAGCGACGCUGAUGCGUUGUUGGGUAGGGGAGCGUUCUGUAAGCCUGCGAAGGUGACCUGUGAGGGUUGCUGGAGGUAUCAGAAGUGCGAAUGCUGACAUAAGUAACGAUAAAGCGGGUGAAAAGCCCGCUCGCCGGAAGACCAAGGGUUCCUGUCCAACGUUAAUCGGGGCAGGGUGAGUCGACCCCUAAGGCGAGGCCGAAAGGCGUAGUCGAUGGGAAACGGGUUAAUAUUCCCGUACUUGGUGUUACUGCGAAGGGGGGACGGAGAAGGCUAUGUUGGCCGGGCGACGGUUGUCCCGGUUUAAGCGUGUAGGUGUGUGUUCCAGGUAAAUCCGGUUCACUUUAACACUGAGGCGUGAUGACGAGGCACUACGGUGCUGAAGCAACAAAUGCCCUGCUUCCAGGAAAAGCCUCUAAGCAUCAGGUAACAUCAAAUCGUACCCCAAACCGACACAGGUGGUCAGGUAGAGAAUACCAAGGCGCUUGAGAGAACUCGGGUGAAGGAACUAGGCAAAAUGGUGCCGUAACUUCGGGAGAAGGCACGCUGACACGUAGGUGAAGUGAUUUACUCACGGAGCUGAAGUCAGUCGAAGAUACCAGCUGGCUGCAACUGUUUAUUAAAAACACAGCACUGUGCAAACACGAAAGUGGACGUAUACGGUGUGACGCCUGCCCGGUGCCGGAAGGUUAAUUGAUGGGGUCAGCGCAAGCGAAGCUCCUGAUCGAAGCCCCGGUAAACGGCGGCCGUAACUAUAACGGUCCUAAGGUAGCGAAAUUCCUUGUCGGGUAAGUUCCGACCUGCACGAAUGGCGUAAUGAUGGCCAGGCUGUCUCCACCCGAGACUCAGUGAAAUUGAACUCGCUGUGAAGAUGCAGUGUACCCGCGGCAAGACGGAAAGACCCCGUGAACCUUUACUAUAGCUUGACACUGAACAUUGAGCCUUGAUGUGUAGGAUAGGUGGGAGGCUUUGAAGUGUGGACGCCAGUCUGCAUGGAGCCGACCUUGAAAUACCACCCUUUAAUGUUUGAUGUUCUAACGUGGACCCGUAAUCCGGGUUGCGGACAGUGUCUGGUGGGUAGUUUGACUGGGGCGGUCUCCUCCUAAAGAGUAACGGAGGAGCACGAAGGUUGGCUAAUCCUGGUCGGACAUCAGGAGGUUAGUGCAAUGGCAUAAGCCAGCUUGACUGCGAGCGUGACGGCGCGAGCAGGUGCGAAAGCAGGUCAUAGUGAUCCGGUGGUUCUGAAUGGAAGGGCCAUCGCUCAACGGAUAAAAGGUACUCCGGGGAUAACAGGCUGAUACCGCCCAAGAGUUCAUAUCGACGGCGGUGUUUGGCACCUCGAUGUCGGCUCAUCACAUCCUGGGGCUGAAGUAGGUCCCAAGGGUAUGGCUGUUCGCCAUUUAAAGUGGUACGCGAGCUGGGUUUAGAACGUCGUGAGACAGUUCGGUCCCUAUCUGCCGUGGGCGCUGGAGAACUGAGGGGGGCUGCUCCUAGUACGAGAGGACCGGAGUGGACGCAUCACUGGUGUUCGGGUUGUCAUGCCAAUGGCACUGCCCGGUAGCUAAAUGCGGAAGAGAUAAGUGCUGAAAGCAUCUAAGCACGAAACUUGCCCCGAGAUGAGUUCUCCCUGAGACUUAGAGUCUCCUGAAGGAACGUUGAAGACGACGACGUUGAUAGGCCGGGUGUGUAAGCGCAGCGAUGCGUUGAGCUAACCGGUACUAAUGAACCGUGAGGCUUAACCUU